Molecule: ribosomal RNA, 484 nt
Filed under: uncultured bacterium
Lineage: Bacteria
Description: partial 16S ribosomal RNA
Rfam family: Bacterial small subunit ribosomal RNA
Source: RNAcentral
AUUGAACGCUAGCGGGAUGCCUUACACAUGCAAGUCGAACGGCAGCACGGACUUCGGUCUGGUGGCGAGUGGCGAACGGGUGAGUAAUGUAUCGGAACGUGCCCAGUAGCGGGGGAUAACUACGCGAAAGCGUAGCUAAUACCGCAUACGCCCUACGGGGGAAAGCAGGGGAUCGCAAGACCUUGCACUAUUGGAGCGGCCGAUAUCGGAUUAGCUAGUUGGUGGGGUAACGGCUCACCAAGGCGACGAUCCGGAGCUGGUUUGAGAGGACGACCAGCCACACUGGGACUGAGACACGGCCCAGACUCCUACGGGAGGCAGCAGUGGGGAAUUUUGGACAAUGGGGGAAACCCUGAUCCAGCCAUCCCGCGUGUGCGAUGAAGGCCUUCGGGUUGUAAAGCACUUUUGGCAGGAAAGAAACGUCGCGGGUUAAUACCUCGCGAAACUGACGGUACCUGCAGAAUAAGCACCGGCUAACUACGUG